UUUUGAGGCCAUACAAUCUUGAGAAUGCCUGAUCUCGCCUGAUCUCAGAAGCUAAGCAGGGUUGGGCUUGGAUAGUCCUUGGAUGAAAGACCAUUGGGGAUACCAGAUGUCAUUGCAG
RNAcentral lists this ribosomal RNA (118 nucleotides) under Periophthalmus magnuspinnatus. The record is from RNAcentral. Lineage: Eukaryota; Metazoa; Chordata; Actinopteri; Gobiiformes; Gobiidae.